UUUCCGGCGGGAGCCGCUCACCUGCUCGCACUGCGCUUUGCUGUUGCCCGCGGCCGGCGCCGCCUCCCGCUCCUGCUCUGGUGCGGUAUCCGCGGCUCCCGCAAGAGGGGUGACCGACCGCUGGUACCGCCCUGGGGGGUCAGUGGGGAAGGAGUUUUGUUUUACGAUUGCGUUUCUCGCCGCAGUGUUCUGCAUGGCAGACAGAAACUCAUCCGCACACAGCCCGCUUAAAACCCCAUUGCGGCGUCCGGCGCUGAAACGGUUACCUUCAGUGGCAAGGGCUGCACAGGAACGACCCUGACGCCUCAGUAAUUCAAUUAGUCAGGUUUCUAGAAGGUGGAGUUGGGUGGUUUUUUUGGCAUGGAGGGGGAGGAGAAGCCUGGGACAACGCCUCCUUUCUCGUGUUUCGAGCCAAUGGCGUCGACGUAUUAAAAAAAAAAAAAAAAGAAAAAAAAAGAAAAAAAAAAAAAACCAACCCAAGCUGUAAGCAAACAGCAGGCUGUACGCUGAGUGGCUGUGCGGGCUGACCCCCCCUUCCACAAGUAAACUGCAUGCAAAAACGCCACAUGAUCCAGCAGCAGCGCCCGUGCUCCGAGCUGGCAGCCUGCACCUCCACCUCCUCCUCGCCUCCUUCCCUCCAGCACACCGGCGCCAGCUCCUGCCUCGGAUACACGCGCGUGCACAAGUUGAUGUUCCUGGGACUGGACCCUGCUUUAUCACGGAGAGGUUCCGGGAGACUGAAGGAGCAGAUUUCCGCACGCCGCCGUGUCCCUCCGUUCGCACCCCUAGCAGAAGAGGCGAGCCAAGACCAGCACCAUUAGAGGAGUUUGCAGGCUUGAUUUUCUAGUCCAAGGUUCUGCUUUUCUACGCCCUCUCAUAGAACAGUUUUUUUAAUUUCCA
Pezoporus flaviventris is the source of this 900-nucleotide long non-coding RNA. RefSeq lists it as uncharacterized. NCBI's taxonomy places the organism in Eukaryota, Metazoa, Chordata, Aves, Psittaciformes, Psittacidae. The record is from RefSeq and is a predicted model, not a curated record. The transcript has 2 exons.